AGGACGAACGCUGGCGGCGUGCUUAACACAUGCAAGUCGAACGGUGAAGCCUUUCGGGGUGGAUCAGUGGCGAACGGGUGAGUAACACGUGGGCAAUCUGCCCUGCAUUCUGGGACAAGCCUUGGAAACGAGGUCUAAUACCGGAUACGACGCAUCUCCGCAUGGGGUGUGCGUGGAAAGCUCCGGCGAUGCAGGAUGAGCCCGCGGCCUAUCAGCUUGUUGGUGGGGUAAUGGCCUACCAAGGCGACGACGGGUA
Molecule: ribosomal RNA, 256 nt
Filed under: uncultured bacterium
Lineage: Bacteria
Description: partial small subunit ribosomal RNA
Rfam family: Bacterial small subunit ribosomal RNA
Source: RNAcentral